UUGCCUUCGUCCCCGAUCCCUCUCCCUUUCCCUCGUCCGCCGCCGCCGCCGCCAUUCACCGCAGCCCGCCGCCACAGCCGCCGCCGCCACCACCAGAGCCCACCCUAACAGCCUGCAACCCAGCCCUCUCUCCCCGCGCUCAUAUUAUCCCCACCACCAGUGAGCUCAUCCCCUUCACCUUGCCCCAGAUUGAGCAGCAGGUUCGGAUCCAUGGCCACGGCGGUGUGAGUGCCCCAAUGUAGAUUCAAGACGCUUGAGGUCGGUGCUCAUUGCGGCUCUUACUCUCGUGCCGACGCCAUGGACGAGGAGAGCAUCUCUCUCUCUGAUCGUGAAGCAGCCCCAAUCCUAGCCCUUCUUUGGCCAUGGCGACUGAGCAGGCAGGAGGUACGAACCCCUCCUCGCCUCCCAAAACCAACUCCUGGAUUUCCUGUUGAUGACAGAGGAACAAGGAUGACAGUCAUUCAGUACUUGAAGGACAUAUACAACUGCAAUCUGCGUAUUUUAUUCAACUACAUGAUUGACCAACACUCUUUUCUAUGGCAUGGCAGCAGCUUUUGGUUCUGGCGCUCUAUUCUCCAUUGUUGGCAGAAAUUCUCAAAGACAAAGACACACAAUGAAGAUAUGAACUAUUCUGAAAUAUGUUGAACCAAUUAGGACUUCAAAACUAUGAAAAGAAUUUCAAGAAGGGUCUUCUGACUGAUGAAACAUUGCCUUUUAUCAAUGAAAGGUACAUGUUUUUAAUAUUCCAUUGAGUUCCUGCAAUUACGGAAAAGAAUCAAUCUUUUCUAUAACAAAAUGGCUGUAUGCUUACUGAAAUUUACCAUUCAAAAGUACAUAUGUCUUGCAUUAUCCUCCAGUGCACUCAGAGUUAUGAAUAUCGCCCUUGUUCCAAGGCUUGUCAUACUUGAUCACAUUAAAAGAUUUGGAAUUAUUGCAUAAAUUUCCAGUUUCUGGUGCAUUAGUUUCCUUUAUCUAAUAUCCUUUUUUGCAAUUUUGCAAAGAACCUGGGUUGAUAAAAUCAAAUUGAAGUGAUUGUUUGUCUGUUGGCACCAGUUUUUUCUCAAGUUACAUAAACUAUGUUCUGGGAAGUCGGUCCAUUCUAGCUCUUAAAUUUUGUAGAUGUCUCUUACUUAGUUUGAUGUUAUGCACAUAUUGUUCGAUGUCGCUUGUGUUCAGGGUUUCUAUUGGGCACAUAAAAAUAAAGGAUGACGCAUGACACAUUUUAGGUGUACAUUUAUUUCAUAGAUUGAAAGACAGCGGUUGUUUUAGAUGGAGAUGUAUCGGUGAUGCGAUCUCCCUGGUUUGCUGCAUCUAUAGUUAGAGAGUAGUCUGCGCCUCUUCAUCGGGCAUCCUCUGGAGCUUCCCCGAGGUGACAAGUGCUUCCCACGGUGUCUCUCUCUGUUCUUAUUGCUACUGCACACAAGCUACUGACCUUGCAGACCAGGACAUACAUCCUGGUGAGCUCCUUGGUCCUUGACUGGUCCAUCACCGAGGUAUGUAUUCACCACUGACUUCUCUCAGAUCAUAUGCAUGCUCCUUAUAAUCUAGGGAUUAUAGUUCUUCAAAAUAACUGUAUUAUCGGGCCGUGAGGGACCGCUGUUGCUAUAGUCUUUGCAUAGAGCUAGAGAAAACAUAUGAGUUCGACAACUUGCGUUGAGGGAAACUGAUGCAAGCGAAGUGUAUAUACGUCACCAGAAAUUUCCAAAGCAUCGGAUGUUCUGAGAUUGAUCAGGUACAGUCAAAGAGAACAGGGUCACCUGUGGUAUGAUUUGGCUUGGCUCACACACCCCAGGCUUUGACACGUGGAGACCAAGCAUCCAAUUAACCUGACAAGGCUCAGUUCUGGCUAAUAUGCAACACAUGGAUGCAGAUCAAUUCAACUAAACACAUGCUCCCUAAGCCGCGGAACUCGCGAGUGACAAGGAAACAGUUGCUGCCACCUCGCUCCAGAUCGAGCAGCAGGUCUGAGCCACGGUGGCGAGAGCGGCCCGAUGUGCAGGUUCAAGCUGCGUGAAGAGGGAGGGGGUGCUCGCUAUGGCUCUGACCAUGGAGCCAACCCCAUGGACAAGGAAGCUACUGAAUUAGGUAAGAAGGCCAAGGAAUUGAAGAAGGCAUCGGAAGCCCUUCACCAAGAAGAGAGAAGUGGGAACAAAGGCAGAAAAUGGCGCAAAAACAUGAAGGCUGUCGAGAAGGCUGAGGCUACCUGGGCUUUUACAUUGCUUGAUUACAUUGGAAAACUCAUAUUCGGCAUUGUUGGAUUAAUUGUAUCGAUUGCUUGGGUAGCACAUAUUAUCAUAUAAUUGUAUCUUCUUUCCCGAAUGAGAUCUUCAUAAAGAUGGACAGUGUUUGGGGUCUGCUUGGGACUGCUGCUUUUGCAUUCUUCUGCUAUCUCCUCAUCGCAGUGAUUGCUGGAGAAAUGAUGCUUGGCCUGAAAUUAGUUUUCAUCAGCAUUCACCCAAUAUGGGGAGGAACGUUGAUGAACUCUUUUUUGUUUAAUGUUGGACUGAUCCUACUUUGUUCCAUCAGUGUGAUUCAGUUCUGCGAGACAGCUUUUGCGUACUAUGCACAAGCAACUGCAGCUCAGGAGAUUUUUGGCCACACGCUGCAGUCUCUUCAUGGAAUUAAUUAAGUAUCUCUACAAAUGGUGCAAGUACAAAAGGUGCAGAAGAUUGUAUGCCUGAGUGAUGCUUGCUUAACCAAACUUAAUUUCUUACUAAGAUGGAUUAAGCCUAAGUGGAGGAGCAGGAUUGAUGUGUGCAAGCUAGAAGCUAAAAUUUGAACUGAGAUAUGUUAUUAUUCAUGCUUGCACUUUCUCAUAUAUUUUAGUUUAUAGGAAGAAUAAUAGCAGAACCA
Triticum dicoccoides is the source of this 2853-nucleotide long non-coding RNA. RefSeq lists it as uncharacterized. The transcript has 11 exons. The record is from RefSeq and is a predicted model, not a curated record. Lineage: Eukaryota; Viridiplantae; Streptophyta; Magnoliopsida; Poales; Poaceae.